GGGCCUGUGGUCGAUCGGUAAGACGCUACUCUCACACAGUAGAGACACGGGGUUCAAUUCCUCGCGGGCCCA
RNAcentral lists this transfer RNA (72 nucleotides) under Microcaldota archaeon. Its description in RNAcentral is "tRNA-Val". It matches the Rfam family "tRNA". Rfam says of the family: Transfer RNA (tRNA) molecules are approximately 80 nucleotides in length. The record is from RNAcentral. Lineage: Archaea; Nanobdellati; Microcaldota.